UAGGGAAUCUUCGGCAAUGGACGAAAGUCUGACCGAGCAACGCCGCGUGAGUGAAGAAGGUUUUCGGAUCGUAAAGCUCUGUUGUUGGCGAAGAAGGAUAGAGGCAGUAACUGGUCUUUAUUUGACGGUAAUCAACCAGAAAGUCACGGCUAACUACGUGCCAG
Molecule: ribosomal RNA, 164 nt
Filed under: uncultured bacterium
Lineage: Bacteria
Description: partial 16S rRNA
Rfam family: Bacterial small subunit ribosomal RNA
Source: RNAcentral